RNAcentral lists this unclassified non-coding RNA (298 nucleotides) under Physalospora sp. RNAcentral's name for it is "partial contains 5.8S ribosomal RNA, internal transcribed spacer 2, and large subunit ribosomal RNA". The record is from RNAcentral. Lineage: Eukaryota; Fungi; Ascomycota; Sordariomycetes; Amphisphaeriales; Hyponectriaceae. RNAcentral also lists the same sequence under 1 other name.
AACGCAUAUUGCACUCUUUGGUAUUCCGAAGAGUAUGCCUGUUUCAGUAUCAUGAAAAACCUCACAAAUUCAUUUUUGGCUUUGUGGACUUGAGCAUUUUGCGGCUUUUUAUUAAGCUGCUGGCUUAAAAUGUAUUUCUUGAAUAGCAAUAUAAUGGCUUUCGAAACUCGGCUUAAUAGUUUUGGCUUUUGGUCAAAUCUUUAGCUCUUUUCAAAGUCUUCAAGUUAUUCAAAAGUUUUAUACGAACACUUUUCUCAAUUUUGAUCUGAAAUCAGGUAGGAUUACCCGCUGAACUUAA